RNAcentral lists this long non-coding RNA (221 nucleotides) under Elaeis guineensis (African oil palm). RNAcentral describes it as "long non-coding RNA (EGUI_LNC040816)". Lineage: Eukaryota; Viridiplantae; Streptophyta; Magnoliopsida; Arecales; Arecaceae. The record is from RNAcentral.
GUUAGAUUAAAGAUAGACUUAAUUAGAGAAUUGACUAAAUCUAAUCAAUUAUUGUCUUAGAUUAGGUCAAGGAUUCUCUAGAUCAAUUACAAUAGUUGUAGUUGGUCAAGUCCAUGUCUUUAACGAGAACCAAAUGGACUUGAUUUUUGGCUAAGCGAUCUAGCACGAACUGUUAGGUUGAUCUAAUCAAAACUAAUCAAACCAGUUGGUAUCUAAGGUAA